AUAGUACAGUGGGCAAAUUACUUAAGGUGAAACUGGCACAUUUUUAAAGUUGUCUUCUGUCUAGAAAACCCUUUGCAAGAGGUGGAGGGCUUCCCACCCAACCUGGUUUCUGUCUUUGUAUACUUGUCUUUCUUUGCACCCUUAUUUUACUGUCUUUUUUUGUUGUUUAUCUGAUUAGUUAUACAUGCCAGUAGAAUGCAUUUUGACACAUCAAACAUAACUGGAGUAUAAUUUCUCAUCCAUCUGGUCGCACAGGAUGUAGAGUUACACAGGUCAUAUAUGCACAUAGGGAAAUAAUGUCCCAGUCAUUCUACUAUCAUUCCUACCUCUAUGUCCCCUCCCCUCCCUUUAUUCCCCUUAGUGAAUUAGCAUUCACUAAUUAGCAUUCACUUCCCCUCUCUCCUUAGUGAAUUAGCAUCUACCUAUCAGAGAAAACAUUCAGCCCUUGGUUCUUUGGGAUUGGCUUAGUUUGCUUACUGUAACAUCCUUUUAUUCAUGCAAGUGAUCAAAACCCCCUACAGAGAGGACAGUUAGUGUAUUUACCUCUCCAGUGACACUCUUCAUUCUUCUUGAUGGGAACUUUGUCCCACCUAAUAUCCAGGGAUGGACCCUCACUGGUUUGUAAGAGUAAAUGCUUACCUUGCUAAAAAAAGAAAAUCUCCAAGCCCUAGGUGUGCACAUGGAGAGUGCCUGCUGAGGGAGCCAGACCAAGCCUGAGGGGUCUCACCUGAGAUCUCUGAAAAUUAUGCAGAGCUUUGUCACAUUGAUUUUAGAAAUGAGCCAUCAAAAGAGCCUGCUACCCCUAACCAAUGAAUACUUUAAAGCCUAGAAUGUCUCCCUAAUAUAGAAUCAAUACUCCUUUACUCCUGUACAUGUAACCCUUAUUCAUGUAUAAAUUUUUACAGAAGAGGUAUAUCCCUAUGAGUGGCCUUGCUGGAUCAUAUGGUAAUCUGAUGUUUAAUUUUUUUGAGGAACUGCUA
Molecule: long non-coding RNA, 980 nt
Filed under: Marmota monax (woodchuck)
Lineage: Eukaryota; Metazoa; Chordata; Mammalia; Rodentia; Sciuridae
Source: RNAcentral